This is a long non-coding RNA of Ctenopharyngodon idella (grass carp), 2153 nucleotides long. RefSeq lists it as uncharacterized. The transcript has 2 exons. Lineage: Eukaryota; Metazoa; Chordata; Actinopteri; Cypriniformes; Xenocyprididae. The record is from RefSeq and is a predicted model, not a curated record.
CAUUCUUAAAAACAUGCACCUUGCUUUAGUAAUGUUUAUUAGGAAUUUCCUGAAUAAAGUGAUUUAACAGAUUUCUUGAAGUGCAAGAGACAUGAACAUGAGCAAAAAUGUCACACUUCACAUAUAGCCCAUGUCUUGCAUUCAUGCUUACAGAGCAUUGCUCCUUUAGUAGGAGUGAAGGCAAAUGAAGAUGGACAAUAAAUAAAAGAGAAGCACACUCCUGAUAAUGCUGACAUUGAUACAUUGAGUUGUUGUUGACAACAUAAUCACCUGAUCUGGGACUUGAUGCUAUCCUGUUCUUUAAAUCCUUAUCCCUGAUUACUGCUUAAUCAGACUUUAGAGAACCCAAAGGAAAAAGGCAGUAGUCUUAUGUAAGACAGCUUUUUAAAACCUGAACCGUUGGACCACCUGUAGUGUGUCGUACUCUCACACCUCUGGCUAGAGAUGUGACAUACUCCCAGUGCUGGGAAACUCAUACGCCCCUUAGACAUAACUUUGCUCUACUCAACACUCAUUCCCUGGACAAUAAAGGUACACUUCUGAAUGACAUUAUCAUCGAAAGAAAGUUGGACAUACUACUACUCACUGAAACCUGUAAAUUACUUAAUGACUUUAUUAUGGCGCUUAACUUGUUGACUCCUCCUGGAUACUGCCAUCUGUCUAAACCACGUCUCACUGGCAGAGGCGGUGGCCUGGCAGCGGUGAUUAAGAACAACUAAAAGACUGUCAACGUCGACUUUCAUGCUGUUGUUAGCUUUGAAUACCUGUCAUUUAGAAUUGCUGGUCCCACACCACUCUUGAAUUUGCUGAUCUACAGACCUCCUAAACAUCAUGCAAACUUUCUCUCUGAUCUCUCUGAGUUGCUCACUAUUGCUUGUGCUCAUUAUAACAAUAUUAUUAUGCUCAGUGAUUUUAAUAUUCAUGUGGAUUCUGACUGUACUUCUGCUAAAAGCUUUAUGGCUAUAUUGGACUUUUGAUUUAACACAGCACAUUGAUUUUCCUACACAUUACCAUUCUCAUACCCUUGACUUAAUCUGCUCCGUUGGUAUUAAUAAUGUUUGUGUCCAGGGUCUCGAAGUUGGCAUAUCUGACCAUAAACUCAUUGACUUUAGUUUUUCUCUCCCCCUUGCUAAACCGAAAAUCAAAUCUACAAUAUCUUAUCGAAACCUGAAAAACAUAAACACUGACAAUUUCUCUAUUGCUACUGCUGCUUCCUCUUUGCCUCUCUCUCUUGUCCUGGUGAGAUUCUCUCAUUAUAUAAUGAAGCUACAUCUAAUGUCUUGGAGGCUCUGGCUCCAUUAAAGACCAGAACUGUCCCCUCAGCUCAUUCUUCCCCUUGGUUCACCCCGUAGCUCAGAUUAAUGAAAGCGAAGGCUAGACAUCUUGAACGCCUCUAUAAGAAGACUUGUCUUCCUGUUCAUGCUACAUAUAUAUCACAAUAUAAAAAUGCAGUAUAAAAACACUGCACGCGCUACUUACUUGUCUACUAUUAUGAACAGAGCAAAGUGUAAACCCAGGACCCUAUUUUCAGAGAUCAACAAACUUGUUAAACCACCAUCACCACUUCUUAAUGGUUCUUCUGAUCUUUGUGAAAAAUUUCUGACAUUUUUUACACAUAAAAUUGACAAUAUCUAUCACAUCUUUUUCUUCUUUCGUUCCUCCAGAAACUUCUACUUUCCAGAUACUCUACCCACUCUCUAACUUUACUUUCACCAUACAUCUGUGGUUGAACAGCUGAUUAUGAACUCUAACUCCUCUACCUGUCAGCUAGAUUUGCUUGCAGUACCCAAGUUCUGUCUAUCUACUGUGGGUAGUAGGGCUUUCAGCAUUUCAGCUUCCAAGCUCUAGAACAAACUACCACAAAAACUUUGUGUUGUCUCUUCACUUCAGACCUUUAAAAACUGCUCUCAAAACUCACUUAUUCACAUUAUGUUUCUGUUAAUUGAUUGUUUGCCUCAAUUUUUCAGCUCUAUGCCUGCUUUUGUAACUUCUCUUGUAUAUUAACUAUCCUUGGGGUCAUGAAUGCAUAAACUGUUCUGCAUUUGUCAUUGAGAGUAUAUGUCAUAAUUUGGAUAUGUUUUUAAGAUGGAAGAAUGCAGUUUUACAGAUGCUAGAAACAUGGCUUUCAAAUUAAAGAUUGGUAUCAAAGAGCA